RNAcentral lists this ribosomal RNA (253 nucleotides) under uncultured bacterium. RNAcentral describes it as "partial 16S ribosomal RNA". It matches the Rfam family "Archaeal small subunit ribosomal RNA", at positions 474 to 727 of the family's 1478-position model. The record is from RNAcentral.
UACCAGCACCCCGAGCGGUCGGGACGAUUAUUGGGCCUAAAGCAUCCGUAGCCGGCCUUACAAGUCCUCCGUUAAAUCCAGCUGCUUAACAGAUGGGCUGCGGAGGAUACUAUAAGACUAGGAGGCAGGAGAGGCAAGCGGUACUCAGUGGGUAGGGGUAAAAUCCGUUGAUCCAUUGAAGACCACCAGUGGCGAAGGCGGCUUGCCAGAAUGCGCUCGACGGUGAGGGAUGAAAGCUGGGGGAGCAAACCGG